RNAcentral lists this ribosomal RNA (771 nucleotides) under uncultured Planctomycetaceae bacterium. Its description in RNAcentral is "bacterial SSU rRNA". It matches the Rfam family "Bacterial small subunit ribosomal RNA", at positions 8 to 796 of the family's 1533-position model. Lineage: Bacteria; Pseudomonadati; Planctomycetota; Planctomycetia; Planctomycetales; Planctomycetaceae. The record is from RNAcentral.
AGAGUUUGAUCCUGGCUCAGCCUGAACGCUGGCGGCGUGGCUAAGACAUGCAAGUCGAACGGGCCCGGCAGCAAUGCCGGGUCAGUGGCGGACGGGUGAGUAAUGUGUCGCUAACGUGCCCCGGGGUCGGGGAUAGCCGCCCGAAAGGGCGGGUAAUACCCGAUGACACGUCUGGAAGGCAUCUUCCGGACUUCAAAGGAGCAAUCCACCCCGGGAGCGGGCGACAUCGUAUCAGGUAGUUGGUGCGGGUAACGGCCCACCAAGCCGACGACGCGUAGCUGGUCUGAGAGGACGGCCAGCCACAUCGGGACUGAGACACUGCCCGGACUCCUACGGGGGGCUGCAGUAACGAAUCUUCCGCAAUGCACGAAAGUGUGACGGAGCGACGCCGCGUGUGGGACCAAGUCCUUCGGGAUGUAAACCACUGUCAGGGGCAGCCAAGUCCUGAGGCGCCCCAGAGGAAGGCACGGCUAACUCUGUGCCAGCAGCCGCGGUAAGACAGAGGUGCCGAGCGUUAGGCGGAAUCACUGGGCUUAAAGCGUGUGUAGGCGGACCCCUAAGCGCCAUUGUGAAAUCCCGCCGCUCAACGGCGGAACCGCGUGGCGGACUGGGGGUCUUGAGGGAUUCAGGGGCGAGCGGAACAGGCGGUGGAGCGGUGAAAUGCGUAGAUAUCGCCUGGAACGCCGACGGUGAAAACAGCUCGCUGGGAAUCUUCUGACGCUGAGACACGAAAGCCAGGGGAGCGAACGGGAUUAGAUACCCCAGUAGUCC